UCUAGCAUGUAAGUCAG
Molecule: ribosomal RNA, 17 nt
Filed under: Symbiodinium sp. Sh8
Lineage: Eukaryota; Dinophyceae; Suessiales; Symbiodiniaceae
Description: partial 24S ribosomal RNA
Source: RNAcentral